CACGCUGCUGGUAGAUGAGCACGCGCAGCUGGAGCCGGUGAGCCUGCGGCCGUGCUUCGGAGACUACAGUGACGAGAGUGACUCGGCCAUCGUCUAUGACAACUGUGCCUCCGUCUCCUCGCCCUAUGAGUCAGCCAUCGGAGAGGAAUAUGAGGAGGCCUCCCGGCCCCAGCCUCCUGCCUGCCUCUCCAAGGACUCCACGCCUGACGAACCCGACGUCCAUUUCUCCAAGAAGUUCCUGAACAUCUUCAUGAGUGGCCGCUCCCGCUCCUCCAGUGCCGAGUCCUUCGGGCUGUUCUCCUGCAUCAUCAACCGGGAGGAGCAGGAGCAGACCCACCGGACCAUAUUCAGGUUUGUGCCUCGACACGAAGACGAACCUGAGCUGGAAGUGGAUGACCCUCUGCUAGUGGAGCUCCAGGCUGAAGACUACUGGUACGAGGCCUACAACAUGCGCACUGGUGCCCGGGGCUUCUUUACUGCCUAUUACGCCAUCGAAGUCACCAAGGAGCCCGAGCACAUGGCAGCCCUGGCUAAAAACAGUGACUGGGUGGACCAGUUCCGGGUGAAGUUCCUGGGCUCAGUCCAGGUUCCCUAUCACAAGGGCGAUGUCGUCCUCUCUGCCGCUAUGCAAAAGAUUGCCACCACCCGCCGGCUAACCGUGCACUUUAACCCGCCCUCCAGCUGUGUCCUGGAGAUCAGCGUGCGGGGUGUGAAGAUAGGUGUCAAGGCCGAUGACUCCCAGGAGGCCAAGGGGAAUAAAUGUAGCCACUUUUUCCAGUUAAAAAACAUCUCUUUCCGCGGAUAUCAUCCAAAGAACAACAAGUACUUUGGGUUCAUCACCAAGCACCUCGCCGACCACCGGUUUGCCUGCCACGUCUUUGUGUCUGAAGACUCCACCAAAGCCCUGGCAGAGUCCGUGGGGAGAGCAUUCCAGCAGUUUCACAAGCAGUUUGUGGAGUACACCUGCCCCACAGAAGAUAUCUACCUGGAGUAGCCGCGCAGCCCCGCCCUCUGCGUCCCCCGGCCCUCAGGCCAGUGCCAGGACAGCUGGCUGCUGACAGGAUGUGGCACUGCUUGAGGAGGGGCACCUGCCACCGCCAGGGGAUGAGGAAGUGGGGGCCGCUGGCUCAGGGUAGGGGAGGGUGGGGCAAUGGGGAGAGGCAAAUGCAGUUUAUUGUAAUAUAUGGGAUUAGAUUCAUCUAUGGAGGGCAGAGUGGGCUGCCUGGGGAUUGGGAGGGACAGGGCUUGGGGAGCAGGUCUCUGGCAGAGAAGGAUGUCCGUUCCAGGAGCACACGGCCCUGCCCCAUCCUGGGCCAUACCUCCCCUGCCAGGGCUCGGGUGCUCUGGCUCCUGCCUUGAUGAAGCCCAUGUCCUGCCUUGAUGAAGCCUGUGCCACCUGCAAGUGCCCGCCCUGCCCCGUCCCAACACCCACCGAAGAACCCUGAGCUCAGGCUGAGCCCAGCCACCUCCCAAGGACUUUCCAGUGAGGAAAUGGCAACACAUGGAAGUGAAGUCCCUGUUCUCAGCUCUGUCAUCUGCGGGGCUUCUGGGUGGCUCCUGCCACCGACCUCACUGGCAUGCUAGCCUGUGGCAGGCCUAGGACCUCAGCGGGGAGGAGGAGCUGCCGCAAGGCCCUAUCCCAGCAGGAGAGGGAGGCUUCCUGACUGACACAGGCUAGCCCCAUCUUGGUCCUGUCACCCUGGCCCCAACUAUUAAAGUGCCAUUUCCUGUCAAAAAAAAAAAAAAAAAAAAGAAAAGAAAA
Homo sapiens (human) is the source of this 1762-nucleotide RNA transcript. It is a transcript of the gene named mitogen-activated protein kinase 8 interacting protein 1 pseudogene 2, with no coding region annotated. The record is from RefSeq and is marked validated. NCBI's taxonomy places the organism in Eukaryota, Metazoa, Chordata, Mammalia, Primates, Hominidae. The transcript has a single exon.